RNAcentral lists this ribosomal RNA (764 nucleotides) under uncultured bacterium. RNAcentral describes it as "bacterial SSU rRNA". It matches the Rfam family "Bacterial small subunit ribosomal RNA", at positions 8 to 798 of the family's 1533-position model. The record is from RNAcentral.
AGAGUUUGAUCAUGGCUCAGGAUGAAUGCUGGCGGCGUGCCUAACACAUGCAAGUCGAGCGGCAGCGAGGGGUGCUUGCACCCUGUCGGCGAGCGGCGAACGGCUGAGUAACGCGUAGGAAUUUGCCCCAAAGUGAGGAAUAACUGCCCGAAAGGGUAGCUAAUGCCGCAUAUGGUCUUCGGAUUAAAGGAUUUAUCCGCUUUGGGAGAAGCCUGCGUUGGAUUAGGUUGUUGGUAGGGUAAUGGCCUACCAAGCCGACGAUCCAUAGCUGGUCUGAGAGGAUGAUCAGCCAGACUGGAACUGAGACACGGUCCAGACUCCUACGGGAGGCAGCAGUGAGGAAUCUUCCACAAUGGGCGAAAGCCUGAUGGAGCAACGCCGCGUGAAGGAUGAAGGCCUUCGGGUUGUAAACUUCUUUUAUGAGUGAAGAAUAUGACGGUAACUCAUGAAUAAGCACCGGCUAACUACGUGCCAGCAGCCGCGGUCAUACGUAGGGUGCAAGCAUUAUCCGGAGUGACUGGGCGUAAAGAGUUGCGUAGGCGGUUUAAUAAGUGAAUAGUGAAACCUGGUGGCUCAACCAUACAGACUAUUAUUCAAACUGUUAAACUCGAGAAUGGUAGAGGUAACUGGAAUUUCUUGUGUAGGAGUGAAAUCCGUAGAUAUAAGAAGGAACACCAAUGGCGUAGGCAGGUUACUGGGCCAUUUCUGACGCUAAGGCACGGAAGCGUGGGGAGCGAACCGGAUUAGAUACCCCGGUAGUCCAA